GGACCGUGUAUAAGUCUCCUGGGAUGGGGCGUCAUAGAGGGUGAGAAUCCCGUCUUUGACACGGACUACCAGUGCAUUGUGGUAUGCUCUCAAAGAGUCGAGUUGUUUGGGAAUGCAGCUCAAAAUGGGUGGUAAAUUCCAUCUAAAGCUAAAUAUUGGCGAGAGACCGAUAGCGAACAAGUACCGUGAGGGAAAGAUGAAAAGAACUUUGGAAAGAGAGUUAAACAGUACGUGAAAUUGCUGAAAGGGAAACGCUUGAAGUCAGUCGCGUUGGCCGGGAAUCAGCCUUGCUUUUGCAUGGUGUACUUUCUGGUUGACGGGUCAGCAUCAAUUUUGACCGCUGGAAAAAGACCUGGGGAAUGUGGCAGCUUCGGCUGUGUUAUAGCCCCUAGUCGCAUACAGUGGUUGGGAUUGAGGAACUCAGCACGCCGCAAGGCCGGGUUUCGACCACGUUCGUGCUUAGGAUGCUGGCAUAAUGGCUUUAAGCGACCCGUCUUGAAACACGGACCAAGGAGUCUAACAUGCCUGCGAGUAUUUGGGUGGAAAACCCAAGUGCGUAAUGAAAGUGAAAGUUGAGAUCCCUGUCGUGGGGAGCAUCGACGCCCGGACCAGAACUUUUGGGACGGAUCCGCGGUGGAGCAUGUAUGUUGGGACCCGAAAGAUGGUGAACUAUGCCUGAAUAGGGUGAAGCCAGAGGAAACUCUGGUGGAGGCUCGUAGCGAUUCUGACGUGCAAAUCGAUCGU
This 744-nucleotide ribosomal RNA is filed under the name Agaricus sp. RNAcentral describes it as "eukaryotic LSU rRNA". It matches the Rfam family "Eukaryotic large subunit ribosomal RNA", at positions 172 to 905 of the family's 3401-position model. The record is from RNAcentral. Lineage: Eukaryota; Fungi; Basidiomycota; Agaricomycetes; Agaricales; Agaricaceae.